This 468-nucleotide ribosomal RNA is filed under the name uncultured bacterium. RNAcentral's name for it is "partial 16S ribosomal RNA". It matches the Rfam family "Bacterial small subunit ribosomal RNA", at positions 28 to 507 of the family's 1533-position model. The record is from RNAcentral.
GACGAACGCUGGCGGCGUGCUUAACACAUGCAAGUCGAACGGAAAGGCCCUGCUUUUGUGGGGUGCUCGAGUGGCGAACGGGUGAGUAACACGUGAGUAACCUGCCCUUGACUUUGGGAUAACUUCAGGAAACUGGGGCUAAUACCGGAUAGGAGCUCCUGCUGCAUGGUGGGGGUUGGAAAGUUUCGGCGGUUGGGGAUGGACUCGCGGCUUAUCAGCUUGUUGGUGGGGUAGUGGCUUACCAAGGCUUUGACGGGUAGCCGGCCUGAGAGGGUGACCGGCCACAUUGGGACUGAGAUACGGCACAGACUCCUACGGGAGGCAGCAGUGGGGAAUAUUGCACAAUGGGCGGAAGCCUGAUGCAGCAACGCAGCGUGCGGGAUGACGGCCUUCGGGCUGUAAACCGCUUUCGCCUGUGACGAAGCGUGAGUGACGGUAAUGGGUAAAGAAGCACCGGCUAACUACGUG